GACGAACGCUGGCGGCGUGCUUAACACAUGCAAGUCGAACGGAAAGGCCCUGCUUGCAGGGUACUCGAGUGGCGAACGGGUGAGUAACACGUGGGUGAUCUGCCCUGCACUUCGGGAUAAGCCUGGGAAACUGGGUCUAAUACCGGAUAGGAGCCAUUUUUAGUGUGAUGGUUGGAAAGUUUUUUCGGUGUAGGAUGAGCUCGCGGCCUAUCAGCUUGUUGGUGGGGUAAUGGCCUACCAAGGCGGCGACGGGUAGCCGGCCUGAGAGGGUGGACGGCCACAGUGGGACUGAGAUACGGCCCAGACUCCUACGGGAGGCAGCAGUGGGGAAUAUUGCACAAUGGGCGCAAGCCUGAUGCAGCGACGCCGCGGGGGGGAUGACGGCCUUCGGGUUGUAAACUCCUUUCGCUAGGGACGAAGCUUUUUGUGACGGUACCUAGAUAAGAAGCACCGGCUAACUACGUG
This 465-nucleotide ribosomal RNA is filed under the name uncultured bacterium. RNAcentral describes it as "partial 16S ribosomal RNA". It matches the Rfam family "Bacterial small subunit ribosomal RNA", at positions 28 to 507 of the family's 1533-position model. The record is from RNAcentral.